Molecule: ribosomal RNA, 565 nt
Filed under: uncultured bacterium
Lineage: Bacteria
Description: partial 16S ribosomal RNA
Rfam family: Bacterial small subunit ribosomal RNA
Source: RNAcentral
UGGGGAAUAUUGGACAAUGGGCGAAAGCCUGAUCCAGCAAUGCCGCGUGAGUGAUGAAGGCCUUAGGGUUGUAAAGCUCUUUUACCCGGGAUGAUAAUGACAGUACCGGGAGAAUAAGCCCCGGCUAACUCCGUGCCAGCAGCCGCGGUAAUACGGAGGGGGCUAGCGUUGUUCGGAAUUACUGGGCGUAAAGCGCACGUAGGCGGCUUUGUAAGUUAGAGGUGAAAGCCCGGAGCUCAACUUCGGAAUUGCCUUUAAGACUGCAUCGCUUGAAUCAUGGAGAGGUCAGUGGAAUUCCGAGUGUAGAGGUGAAAUUCGUAGAUAUUCGGAAGAACACCAGUGGCGAAGGCGACUGACUGGACAUGUAUUGACGCUGAGGUGCGAAAGCGUGGGGAGCAAAACAGGAUUAGAUACCCUGGUAGUCCACGCCGUAAAACGAUGAUAACUAACUGUCAGGGCUCUUAGAGUUUUGGUGGCGCAGCUAACGCGUUAAGUUAUCCGCCUGGGGAGUACGGCCGCAAGGUUAAAAACUCAAAUGAAUUGACGGGGUCAUAGCUGUUUCCUG